GAUGAACGCUGGCGGCGUGCCUAAUACAUGCAAGUCGAGCGAACAGACGAGGAGCUUGCUCCUCUGACGUUAGCGGCGGACGGGUGAGUAACACGUGGAUAACCUACCUAUAAGUCUGGGAUAACUUCGGGAAACCGGAGCUAAUACCGGAUAAUAUAUUGAACCGCAUGGUUCAAUAGUGAAAGACGGUUUUGCUGUCACUUAUAGAUGGAUCCGCGCCGCACUAGCUAGUUGGUAAGGUAACGGCUUACCAAGGCAACGAUGCGUAGCCGACCUGAGAGGGUGAUCGGCCACACUGGAACUGAGACACGGUCCAGACUCCUACGGGAGGCAGCAGUAGGGAAUCUUCCGCAAUGGGCGAAAGCCUGACGGAGCAACGCCGCGUGAGUGAUGAAGGUCUUCGGAUCGUAAAACUCUGUUAUUAGGGAAGAACAAAUGUGUAAGUAACUAUGCACGUCUUGACGGUACCUAAUCAGAAAGCCACGGCUAACUACGUG
RNAcentral lists this ribosomal RNA (497 nucleotides) under uncultured bacterium. Its description in RNAcentral is "partial 16S ribosomal RNA". It matches the Rfam family "Bacterial small subunit ribosomal RNA", at positions 28 to 507 of the family's 1533-position model. The record is from RNAcentral.